CUACGGGUGGCUGCAGUGGGGAAUAUUGCACAAUGGGCGCAAGCCUGAUGCAGCCAUGCCGCGUGUAUGAAGAAGGCCUUCGGGUUGUAAAGUACUUUCAGCGGGGAGGAAGGGAGUAAAGUUAAUACCUUUGCUCAUUGACGUUACCCGCAGAAGAAGCACCGGCUAACUCCGUGCCAGCAGGCCGCGAUAAUACGGAGGGUGCAAGCGUUAAUCGGAAUUACUGGGCGUAAAGCGCACGCAGGCGGUUUGUUAAGUCAGAUGUGAAAUCCCCGGGCUCAACCUGGGAACUGCAUCUGAUACUGGCAAGCUUGAGUCUCGUAGAGGGGGGUAGAAUUCCAGGUGUAGCGGUGAAAUGCGUAGAGAUCUGGAGGAAUACCGGUGGCGAAGGCGGCCCCCUGGACGAAGACUGACGCUCAGGUGCGAAAGCGUGGGGAGCAAACAGGAUUAGAUACCCCAGUAGUC
RNAcentral lists this ribosomal RNA (465 nucleotides) under uncultured bacterium. RNAcentral describes it as "partial 16S ribosomal RNA". It matches the Rfam family "Bacterial small subunit ribosomal RNA", at positions 339 to 795 of the family's 1533-position model. The record is from RNAcentral.